Molecule: long non-coding RNA, 1282 nt
Filed under: Felis catus (domestic cat)
Lineage: Eukaryota; Metazoa; Chordata; Mammalia; Carnivora; Felidae
Description: lncRNA (ENSFCAG00000049766.1)
Source: RNAcentral
AUGCUACAGUGCUGCUCACUGAGCCAGGAGGAUCUCUGGUGUCGGAUGGGAUACUCUUGUAUAAUUUGUGUCUACCUCUAUCGAUUCCACAGCCCACGAAACUCUGGAGUGCGCCCCACAAUUUGUGCUAAUUCUCAGGGACGUCCCCUCCACUGUUUCCAAGUUGUUUUCGACCUUGAAUGUUGUCUGUGUCCUCACCACGUUGAACAAGGAUGGGCCACUGCUCUGCUUGGAGGGGUCAUGCAGGAUUCUCCUGGAAGGCAUCCCACCCCCGCUGACUGACGCUGAGUAGGGUUGUAUAAUUCAAUAUCCCACACCGAAAGCUUUCUUUAUAGGUCGCGUCCCUCAUGGAGCCAUACAGGCCUGUCCGUAUCAACAGAAAUACAGGGAAAGAGAAGCAGAGAAGGGGCCUUAGUCCUUUGGGAAAGACCUCAAGUUUGCAGAAGUAAAUUAGGCUGUAAUUCCACGUCUCUGUCCGUCUGUCCAACGGAGAUCGGUGCGCUACCCUAGGGACACUAGACUCCUUUAAAGAUGUCAUUUUGCGCCUUCGAAUCUCAAGACACAACGUGGUUUCUACCACGUUCCUUGGCCCCUCUCUGUCCAUAUCAUCACCCUUCUUUCUCCGCUGAAUCACUCCGGUGGCCCCGUCACCGGCCUUGGCAUCUGUGGUGUGCCCUCUACCCUGUUCUCCAGGCCGCACCUGGAGACAUCUUCCCCAAAUGCAAGUCUCAUUAAAUCAGAGCCUGGCGAAAAACCCUUCGGUGGUUUCCAGUGGAACAUUCUCAUAGAUUUUACUACCUGGGCACUGCCUACCUUUAUUCUCACUAUUCUGUAACAUCCACUCUCCACCCACCUUGCACACACACACACACACACACACACACACACAGACAACCAGCACAGACCAUUUAUUUCUCUAUUUCAGCUUGACUGGACACCCCGCAGCCAUCUUUAAGAUAUACGGCCCCUUGCGUUUUCUGACUCGGGGUACCAAGAUGCAGAGGCCCGUUUCAUUCCCCUGGGCUCCCUUUCUAAACAUCGUGGAAGAAAACUGCCCGAAAUGUUUGCUACAAAUGAAGUGUGUGAUCUUCUCAUUAGUUUCUUUCGUUCUUUUAAUCAUCCUAAAAGGAGUCUCAUAAGUCAUGCUUAGGAUUUACUGGGGAUGCAUGAUAAUGAAGGCAGUCUCCCGAUUUAGGAACACCCCUGGGACUUCUCCCAUCUCUUACUGCAGGGCACAGAUGCUGUGCCCUAGAUCGGAUCAAGGCGGAGGCUUGGAUACCGG